GUCCUAUGAGAAACAAGCUGCCCCCUCACCCAUGUCCACUAUGCCGAGGCAAUCACUGGAAGGCACACUGCCCCCAAGGACAAAGGUUCUCUGGGCCAGAAGCCCCCAACCAGAUGAUCCAUCAACAGGACUGAGGGUGCCCGGGGAAAGUGCCAGCUCACGUCAUCACUCUCACUGAGCCCCAGAGGUCUGCGGCUUCACUCCUGAAGUCAGCGAGACCACAAACCCACCUGGAGGAACAAACAACUCGGGACGCACCACCUUUAAGAGCUGUAACACUCACUGUGAACGUCUGCAGCUUCACUCCUGAAGUCAGCGAGACCACAAACCCACUGGAAGGAAGAAACUCCAGACGCAUCUGAACAUCUGAAGGAACAGACUCCGGACACACCAUCUUUAAGAACUGUAACGCUCACUGCGAGGGUCCGCGGCUUCAUUCUUGAAGUCAGUGAGACCAAGAACCCACCAGAAGGAAUAAAUUCUGGACACAAAAGUGUAUCUGGUAUCAUCAUUCAUUCAUUAAUUCAUUGACUAAUGCAUUUAUUAUUUCGAGAGUUAACAACUUUGCUAUUGCUACAUGUCAGAAUUUCUUUGAAGGGUCAGUAUUCCCAGCCCAGUGAUAUAUGCAGAACAGCAGUCUCAAGGAUUUGGGUUUCCCCAUUUUUGUGGGAUUGUGUUUGCCAAAACAAGAGGGAAGUUGAAUGAUGAAACUCAGUUGAUGAAAUAUCAACUGGAGACAAAAUUUUCAAUAUGUAUAAAAUAUAUUCAUUAAUUAUCAUACAAGUUGUAUGUAUAAAUAUGUUCCUAUAAACAUUCAACUGCUUCAGGGAUAUUCAACUUAGAAAUAUGCAUUUAUUCUUGACUUCUUUCUUUCUACAUUAUUGUGAUGUCAAUUCCAUGUCAUGCUUUUCCUUUACAGACCCUCAUGGGAUCCUUCUAAAUGAUUUCAGUGUCCUGCUAAAUGUCUUCAUCUACAUUAAUUCAUUUGCUUUCGUCAAACUAAUCCUCUCUUACCACACACACACUGACUGAAAUCAUUUUAAUAAAAUACAAACUUGAUCAUAUCAGCCUGCUACUCGAAACCCUUCAGAGAUUCCUCAUUUCCUUAUAAGCUAAAAUUCAGAUACUUUAUCACCUUCAAAUACAGUUCCAACAAACCACUCCAUAUGUAUUCUUUUGACUCUCUCAAUUUCUAACAUUUAUACAUCUUCAUUUUUUAUGUACAUGGUACAUCACAGACAUAGAAUUAUUAGUAUUCUCUAUUAAUACUAAUAUUCCUUGCCUAUCUGAAUAUUAUCCAUAUUUUAAGCUCUUUUUGUGGGGAGAAAAGUCUUCCUUUAAGGCCAUAGUUAAGAUUCUAAUGUCUUUCUAAAAUAAUUUAUGGAUUAAUUAAGUUAAUCCAUGAAUUAUGCACUCAAUAUCUAUUUAUCAUGUGCCUACAAUGUGUCAGGUAAUAUCCUAAAUUCUGGAAAAAAAAAUGGCAGCAGUAAACAAAAUAUAUGAGGACUCUGCCUUCUUAGAAUUUAGAAUAUAAUGGAGAAGAAAGGCCAUAAGAAAAUUAGCAAAUAAAAAAUUUGUUGAAAGUUGUAAUUGAGAAGGAAAAAGACAAGAGAAAGAGACCAAAAAAGGCAAGGGAAAGCCUACUUUGGAUUGGGAGACUUCACCUCUAUUAUAUGUUCAUGCUGUACAAAACAAGAAUGAACCCACUGAGAGAAGCCAGUUCAGCUGGAUUAUAAUUUUGAAAGGGAAGAAUAUCUGAGAUAGGGAUUUGGGGCAGUCAGGUCAGGAAGACAAUAUUAAAGAGGGAAGCUCUUGCUCUGAAGGUGACAGAAAGACCCUGUACGUUAAGAAGAGGAAGUAGAUAAUUUAAAAAGAAAGUCUACGUGCCAUAUGGAAUAUAGGCUGUGUAGGGGCAAAAAUCAUAGCAAUAACCACUCAGGAGGCAAAUGAGUGUAAGAUACAGAUAAUGCCAACUUUGGCUAAGCAGGUUGAUGGCAGUGGAGAUGGAAAGACAGGGACAAAGUGAAACAUUCUUUAGCAACAGAAGUUUGCUGAAUUGAAUUGAAUGCACACACUAGUAAACAAACCAAUUAAGUAUAUAGAUCAAGAGAAACUUUAGAGGGGAUUGCCAAGUUCAUUUUAAAUAUUCUUGAGUUUCAGAGAUGUCAUGCAGAAGGUAAAAAUACAAAAGUGGAACAUCUUUUUUGUGUGUGUAUGUUUGGACAUAAAAGUCAUAGAUACAAGCAGGGAAAUCAGCCAUGUUUUACUUUAUGAGUUAUGUUCACAGUAUUCCAUGUGCUGAGGAAACAAUCUUACCUUUAUGAGAUCUAGAUCAUUUAGGAAGCAUUCACUCAAACCACUCAGAGAAGUAGGGUAACACAUCUCCUAACACUGAAAGGACUAUGUGUUUUAAUUCAGUAAGUUAAAUUAGUACAAAGCUUCAUAAACCAGCUAAAGAUAGAAGCUGAUGAAUUGUUCAAUGGAGAGAACUGCAGAAGCCCUUUAAGAAAAGCCUACAAUUUUAAUGGAGUUGUUCAAAGUGUGUCAAAGAACUUAUGCAGAAACAGUCCUAAAAUAUCCCUAUUAGAUGCAUGUAUGUUUAGGUUUAUUUCAGAUUAAUUGUGUUAACCCUUGUGGCUUGGAAAAACAUUAAUAAUUGUUAAGUAAAUAAAUGUAACUGCCUCACCCUGGGUUAGACUACUUGAGGAAGUGCAUCUGAAAUUUUCUUGAAGAUCAUUUUCCACAGUUUCAAAACGAUUGGCUUUUUCUUGGUUCACACUGUCAAAUAAAUAAAGCAUAUCAGAAUUCACUUCUGAAGCAUGACUGCAUACUAAGCAAAUUUUGUAAAUAUGGCCUCUAUUUUAAUUUCACCAUAAAAAUAUUUUGUUAAACUGAAUCCAAAGUAUUUUCUCCUGAUGCUAAAAUAAAUAAGCAAAUAAAAUUAACUAUAUUUGUUGCAGAAGACCAUUGCAUGUGUUUUUUACAGUAUAUCUAAG
This 2996-nucleotide long non-coding RNA is filed under the name Homo sapiens (human). RNAcentral's name for it is "HSALNT0061656". The record is from RNAcentral. Lineage: Eukaryota; Metazoa; Chordata; Mammalia; Primates; Hominidae.